This 171-nucleotide ribosomal RNA is filed under the name Platycephalus indicus (bartail flathead). RNAcentral's name for it is "partial small subunit ribosomal RNA". Lineage: Eukaryota; Metazoa; Chordata; Actinopteri; Perciformes; Platycephalidae. The record is from RNAcentral.
CACCGCGGUUAUACGAGAGGCCCAAGCUGAUAGACUGCGGCGUAAAGAGUGGUUAGGAUCAAACACACACUAAAGUCGAAUGCAUUCAAAGCUGUUAUACGCUAAUGAAGCUAGCCGAAGCCCAACUACGAAAGUGACUUUAAACCUACUGACUCCACGAAAGCUAGGAAA